Molecule: long non-coding RNA, 523 nt
Filed under: Nicotiana benthamiana
Lineage: Eukaryota; Viridiplantae; Streptophyta; Magnoliopsida; Solanales; Solanaceae
Description: long non-coding RNA (NBEN_LNC018513)
Source: RNAcentral
UACUAUUGAGAGAUAUAAGGCAAGGUUGGUUAUUCGAGGUGAUACACAGGUUGAGGGUGUGGACUUUACAGACACAUUUUCUCCUAUUGUCAAGAUGACUUCAGUGAAAUGCAUUAUUGCAGUAGCUGUUAAGAACCACUGGCCACUGUAUCAGCUUGAUGUUAACAAUGCUUUCCUUCAUGGUGAUUUGGAUGAGGAAGUGUACAUGAAACUUCCUCCAGGUUUGGUGGUAUCUGAUUCUGUUUCUCCCUCUUCUUCUUCUACUUCUUCUUCUUCUCUUCCUUUGGUUUGCAAACUAAAGAAUCUUUGUAUGGGCUCAGGCAGGCCUCCAGGCAGUGGUAUGCUAAACUGUCAUCUGCUCUUCAUUCCAGAGGUUACAGGCACUCUCGGUUUGCAAACUAAAGAAAUCUUUGUAUGGGCUCAGGCAGGCCUCCAGGAAGUGGUAUGCUAAAUUGUCAUAUGCUCUUCAUUCCAGAGGUUACAGGCACUCUUUGAAUGAUUAUUCUUUAUUUUUAAAAGGUAC